GAACGCUGGCGGCAGGCCUAACACAUGCAAGUCGAACGGUAACAGGAAGCAGCUUGCUGCUUCGCUGACGAGUGGCGGACGGGUGAGUAAUGUCUGGGAAACUGCCUGAUGGAGGGGGAUAACUACUGGAAACGGUAGCUAAUACCGCAUAACGUCGCAAGACCAAAGAGGGGGACCUUCGGGCCUCUUGCCAUCAGAUGUGCCCAGAUGGGAUUAGCUAGUUGGUGGGGUAACGGCUCACCAAGGCGACGAUCCCUAGCUGGUCUGAGAGGAUGACCAGCCACACUGGAACUGAGACACGGUCCAGACUCCUACGGGAGGCAGCAGUGGGGAAUAUUGCACAAUGGGCGCAAGCCUGAUGCAGCCAUGCCGCGUUGUAUGAAGAAGGCCUUCGGGUUGUAAAGUACUUUCAGCGGGGAGGAAGGUGUUGUGGUUAAUAACCGCAGCAAUUGACGUUACCCGCAGAAGAAGCACCGGCUAACUCCGUGCCAGCCGCCGC
RNAcentral lists this ribosomal RNA (499 nucleotides) under uncultured bacterium. RNAcentral's name for it is "bacterial SSU rRNA". It matches the Rfam family "Bacterial small subunit ribosomal RNA", at positions 31 to 518 of the family's 1533-position model. The record is from RNAcentral.